Carlito syrichta (Philippine tarsier) is the source of this 3156-nucleotide RNA transcript. It is a transcript of the gene named zinc finger RNA-binding protein pseudogene, with no coding region annotated. The record is from RefSeq and is a predicted model, not a curated record. Lineage: Eukaryota; Metazoa; Chordata; Mammalia; Primates; Tarsiidae. The transcript has a single exon.
GGAGGAGCGGGGCAGAGGAGGGAGGCAGCGGGUGAGAGUUCAGAGUUCAGCAGCAGCAGCCCGAGCCCAUGAUUCCCAUAUGCCCUGUAGUUUCUUUCACCUAUGUGCCCAGCCGGCUGGGGGAAGAUGCCAAAAUGGCGACCGGCAACUACUUUGGAUUCACCCACAGCGGGGCGGCGGCGGCGGCGGCUGCGGCCCAGUAUAGCCAGCAACCAGCUUCGGGUGUAGCCUAUUCUCAUCCAACUACAGUUGCUAGCUACACUGUCCAUCAGGCUCCAGUAGCUGCUCACACAGUUACUGCUGCCUAUGCACCAGCAGCCGCCACAGUUGCAGUUGCCAGGCCUGCUCCAGUAGCUGUUGCAGCAGCUGCGACAGCUGCUGCUUAUGGAGGCUACCCCACUGCACACACAGCAACUGACUAUGGUUAUACCCAGAGGCAACAAGAAGCACCACCGCCACCACCUCCAGCUACCACACAAAACUACCAGGACUCAUACUCAUACGUAAGAUCCACAGCUCCUGCCGUAGCUUAUGACAGUAAGCAGUACUACCAACAGCCAACAGCAACUGCUGCUGCUGUAGCUGCUGCUGCCCAACCUCAGCCUUCUGUUGCUGAAACCUACUAUCAGACAGCCCCCAAAGCAGGUUAUAGCCAAGGUGCAACUCAGUAUACUCAAGCCCAGCAAACUCGACAAGUGACAGCCAUAAAACCAGCCACACCAAGUCCAGCUACCACUACUUUCUCCAUUUAUCCUGUAUCCUCCACCGUACAGCCAGUAGCAGCUGCGGCUACUGUGGUGCCAUCCUAUACUCAGAGUGCUACUUAUAGUACCACAGCAGUUACUUAUUCUGGUACGUCUUAUUCAGGUUAUGAAGCAGCAGUGUAUUCAGCUGCAUCUUCCUACUAUCAACAGCAGCAGCAGCAACAGAAGCAGGCAGCAGCAGCAGCAGCUGCUGCUGCUGCAACAGCUGCCUGGACAGGGACCACCUUUACUAAAAAAGCACCAUUCCAAAAUAAACAACUGAAACCAAAACAGCCUCCCAAACCACCCCAGAUUCACUAUUGUGAUGUUUGUAAGAUCAGCUGUGCUGGACCACAGACUUAUAAAGAACAUUUAGAAGGACAGAAACAUAAAAAAAAAGAAGCUGCAUUGAAAGCAUCACAAAAUACCGCAACUCUACUCGUGGAACUCAAAAUCAGCUACGAUGUGAGCUCUGCGAUGUGUCUUGUACAGGAGCAGAUGCGUAUGUUGCCCACAUUCGUGGUGCUAAGCAUCAGAAAGUGGUUAAAUUACAUACAAAACUUGGUAAACCCAUUCCUUCAACAGAACCAAACGUUGUUAGCCAAGCUACUUCUUCAACAGCUGUAUCUGCUUCAAAACCGACUGCCUCUCCUUCAAGCAUUGCAGCAAGCAAUUGUACUGUGAAUACUUCAUCAAUUGCAACUUCUUCAGUGAAGGGUCUUACGACUACAGGAAACUCGUCUCUUAAUAGCACAUCUAACACUAAAGUAUCAGCAGUGCCUACAAAUAUGGCUGCCAAGAAAACAUCUACCCCCAAAAUAAACUUUGUUGGUGGUAAUAAGCUGCAGUCAACAGGAAAUAAAACAGAAGACUUAAAAGGAACUGAAUGUGUUAAAAGUACUCCUGUCACUUCUGCUGUGCAGAUUCCUGAAGUAAAGCCAGACACAGUGUCAGAGCCAGUCACACCUGCGUCUCUUGCUGCUUUGCAGAGUGAUGUGCAGCCAGUGGGCCAUGAUUAUGUGGAGGAGAAAAAAGUAAAUCCAGAUUUGCAAGUGGAAGUAAAGCCUAGUAUUCGAGCAAGAAAGAUUCAAGAAGAGAAAAUGAGGAAGCAAAUGCAGAAGGAGGAGUACUGGCGAAGACGAGAAGAAGAAGAACGUUGGAGAAUGGAAAUGAGACGUUAUGAAGAGGACAUGUACUGGAGAAGAAUGGAGGAAGAACAGCAUCAUUGGGAUGAUCGCCGCCGAAUGCCCGAUGGAGGCUAUCCUCAUGGUCCUCCAGGCCCGUUAGGCCUUCUGGGAGUCCGACCAGGCAUGCCUCCUCAGCCACAGGGGCCUGCACCCUUGCGUCGCCCCGACUCAUCUGAUGACCGUUAUGUAAUGACAAAACAUGCAACCAUUUAUCCAACUGAAGAGGAGUUACAGGCAGUUCAGAAAAUUGUUUCUAUCACUGAACGUGCUUUAAAACUUGUUUCAGACAGUUUGUCUGAACAUGAGAAGAGCAAGAACAAAGACGGAGAUGAUAAGAAAGAGGGAGGUAAAGACAGAGCUUUGAAAGGAGUUUUACGAGUGGGAGUAUUGGCAAAAGGAUUACUUCUCCGAGGAGAUAGAAAUGUCAACCUUGUUUUGCUGUGUUCAGAGAAACCUUCAAAGACAUUAUUAAGCCGUAUUGCAGAAAACCUACCCAAACAGCUUGCUGUUAUAAGCCCUGAGAAGUAUGACAUAAAAUGUGCUGUAUCUGAAGCGGCAAUAAUUUUGAACUCAUGUGUGGAACCCAAAAUGCAAGUCACUAUCACCUUGACGUCUCCAAUUAUUCGAGAAGAGAACAUGAGGGAAGGAGGCUAUGGAGUUACUAGUAGAGAAAGCAAUCAGUAGUGCUUCCAGUCCUCAGAGCCCUGGAGAUGCACUGAGAAGAGUUUUCGAGUGCAUUUCUUCAGGGAUUAUUCUUAAAGGUAGUCCUGGACUUCUGGAUCCUUGUGAGAAGGAUCCCUUUGAUACCUUGGCAACAAUGACUGACCAGCAGCAUGAAGAUAUCACAUCCAGUGCACAGUUUGCCUUGAGACUCCUUGCAUUCCGCCAGAUACACAAAGUUCUAGGCAUGGAUCCAUUACCCCAAAUGAGCCAACGUUUUAACAUCCACAACAACAGGAAACGAAGAAGGGAUAGCGAUGGAGUUGAUGGAUUUGAAGCUGAGGGGAAAAAAGACAAAAAAGAUUAUGAUAACUUUUAAAAAGCUUCUGUAACUCUUCAGUGUUAAAAACAACAGGUGCCCGUUUGUUGGCUGUUUUUCAUUCAUAAUAAUGUCUACUUUGAAAAAUUUAUCAAGAAUUUAAAGAAUUUCAUGGGAGAACCAAGUUUUUCUAUGACAUUAAAAACGAAAUGUACAGUAUUAGGUAUUAUAUGAAUGGAAAGACACC